CCUACGGGUGGCUGCAGUCAAGAAACUUCCACAAUGGACGAAAGUCUGAUGGAGCGACGCCGCGUGAUUGAUGAAGUCCCUCUGGGACGUAAAGAUCUUUUAUUAGGGAGGAAAUUUUUGACGUUACCUAAUGAAUAAGAGGCUCCUAAUCUCGUGCCAGCAGGAGCGGUAAUACGAGAGCCUCGAGCGUUAUCCGGAAUUAUUGGGCGUAAAGGGUGCGUAGGUUGCGCUAUUAGUCUUCUGUUAAAAACCCUGGCUUAACCAGGGAGUCGCAGAAGAUACGGCAGCGCUUGAAAGUGCGAGAGGCGUACGGAACUCAUGGUGUAGGAGUGAAAUCCGUUGAUAUCAUGGGGAACACCAAAAGCGAAGGCAGUACGCUGGCGCAUAUUUGACACUCAAGCACGAAAGCGUGGGUAGCGAAUGGGAUUAGAUACCCCGGU
RNAcentral lists this ribosomal RNA (440 nucleotides) under uncultured bacterium. Its description in RNAcentral is "bacterial SSU rRNA". It matches the Rfam family "Bacterial small subunit ribosomal RNA", at positions 338 to 791 of the family's 1533-position model. The record is from RNAcentral.